Molecule: ribosomal RNA, 465 nt
Filed under: Vreelandella stevensii
Lineage: Bacteria; Pseudomonadati; Pseudomonadota; Gammaproteobacteria; Oceanospirillales; Halomonadaceae
Description: partial 16S ribosomal RNA
Rfam family: Bacterial small subunit ribosomal RNA
Source: RNAcentral
CCUACGGGGUGCAGCAGUGGGGAAUAUUGGACAAUGGGCGAAAGCCUGAUCCAGCCAUGCCGCGUGUGUGAAGAAGGCCUUCGGGUUGUAAAGCACUUUCAGUGGGGAAGAAAGCCUUGGGGCUAAUACCCUCGAGGAAGGACAUCACCCACAGAAGAAGCACCGGCUAACUCCGUGCCAGCAGCCGCGGUAAUACGGAGGGUGCGAGCGUUAAUCGGAAUUACUGGGCGUAAAGCGCGCGUAGGCGGUCUGAUAAGCCGGUUGUGAAAGCCCCGGGCUCAACCUGGGAACGGCAUCCGGAACUGUCAGGCUAGAGUGCAGGAGAGGAAGGUAAAAUGCCCGGUGAAGCGGUGAAAUGCGUAGAGAUCGGGAGGAAUACCAGUGGCGAAGGCGGCCUUCUGGACUGACACUGACGCUGAGGUGCGAAAGCGUGGGUAGCAAACAGGAUUAGAUACCCUUGUAGUC